Molecule: long non-coding RNA, 32780 nt
Filed under: Gossypium barbadense (sea-island cotton)
Lineage: Eukaryota; Viridiplantae; Streptophyta; Magnoliopsida; Malvales; Malvaceae
Description: long non-coding RNA (GBAR_LNC019854)
Source: RNAcentral
GGACAUUGAGCUAGCCAUAUCGAUUAAUCACAAGAAAAACAAACUUGUAAGGAAAAUGCUUGCUUGGAGUAGUAGUACUAUUGCUGAUUGUCGUGGUUAGGGCUUGAGGGUAGGAGGGUUUUUAUAGCCAAAAGUAGUAGCGGGUGAUGUCUGAAUUUUACUUUCCUAGCUAUUAGGUAAGUUGAGAUUAUCCGAUCCAAACAUUAACACACCACAUUAAAAGUUGAGACCAUUCAAUUAGGUUCAACUGCCAACCUACGUGAUUAUUGUUUUCUUUCAAUACAAUUAAAACCAGCGUCCAUUUGAUUUCACUCAAUCAUGCCUCCACAGCUAGGACUCAAAUAUUGGUUUAACUUUUUUCUAGGUGUUUUCUUAUAAACAUGAGAUUUACAUUUGAUGUAUUUAUAAAUGCAUUUAUUGUCAGAAUGAUACCAUUUUAUUAAAAGUAAUUUGAUUUAUAAUUGUUUGUAUAUAUACUUUUAUAUAUUAAGUCUUUAAUUGAAUUGGUAUUACGAUUCACCCAAGCAUCUAUUUAAUUGAAAAUUUGUUAAAAUAUUCAUAUAACAAAUAUUAAUAUUAAUAUAAAUGUAUUUUUAUUUUUAUUAUAAAUAAAACUAUAAUAAGAUUUAAACUUAUGACUCAUAAAUUUUACUCUUUUUAACUUAACUAUUUCAACUAAAAUUUCAUUUAGUUUUAAUAUAAAUUUUUAUAAAUAUAUUAUUUACAUGAAUUUUCCUUUUCCAGGCGGUAUGCCAUGGAACUAAUAUAAAAUAUAAACAAAUGGUUAUUUUGUUAUUUUCAAUGGAAAAAAAAAACUUCACAAGAUUAGGACACAUGCAUGGUUUUUUUAAUAUAUAUAUAUAUAUAUCAUGCAACAUUCUAAAUCUAUUUAUAGAUUAUUUUGUUGAUUGAAUUUUUAUUUUUUUUUAUUUUGGUAAUUAUAUAAAACUAAAUAUUUUCUUCGCGCAAUGUUAAGAGCAGUUUGAAAUUUAAAAGAAGUGUGGAUUCUAAUAAUAAAUUUAGUUAUCUAAUGUUUACAUAUUUUAUUAAUUUGGUCUUAAAUAUAAAAAUUAAAUUCAACAAAAUUAGCCCUCAAUGUUUACAAAAUUUUUCAUUUUAAUUCAAAUUCUAAAAUAAUCCAAUAAAUUUAGCUCUCAACAUUUACAAAAUGAAAGGAUUUGAUUUUUAAAAUUUUAAUUUUUUUUUUUAAAAACCCAAAACACAAACCUAAAUAAACUGAAAAAGAAGAAGGAAUAAUUAUCAUCACCACGAUCUAAUCUCUCAACUUUAAAAUAAGACUUCAACUUCGGUUUAACCCCAAGACAAGGCGAAACAUUGAAAGUAAGUGCAGCGGAUGCCAUUGAUUCUCCUACCUUUUGGCUAAACACAUAAAUUUGAACAACUUCAUACAUAACUAGCAGCAGUACUAAAAAAUCAUUAAUACUAUAUUUUCAAGUACAAGAAAUUGAAAAAAGAAUCACGGGUAGAGUACAAAAAUGAAAUUUGGUGUGAACCUAGAUUAACAAAACAAGGUUCACGGUUUCUCAAAAACACAAUACUAAAUUUUUAGAAUUUCUUGUGAAGAUCAAGCAAUGAGACAAAUACUGAAAUUGGCAAUGCCUUAAUAGCAAAUAAUAAUUCAAACCAAUGUAGAAAAAAGAUGAAGAAGAAGAAGAUAGGAAAAGAAUUUUUAGUUUACAUUAAAAGCCUUGAAAAGGUAGACCGAUAGGAUUGAUUGUUUUGAAUAUUACUCAACUUUCUCAUUAAUUCUUGUACUAUUAUGGCUAAGUGUGUUUUUAGAUGGUAAUGAAUUUUUUUAAUUGUUAAUAAUUUUUACAAUUAUUACACUUGAUUUGGCAGUUGUUUUUCUUUUUAAUUUACAAAAUUUUAAAAAAUUAAAAAUUUCUAUUUUGUAAAUGCUAAGAGCUAAAUUUAUUAUUAUUUAUUUUAGAAUCUAAACUAAAGUGACAAAUUUUGUAAAUAUUUGGUGUUAAAUUUAUUGGAUUUUUAUAUUUAAAAUCAAAUUGAUAGAAUGUGUAAAGAAAGUUAAUUUUUUUAUUAGACAAAUAAAAAAUAACCCAUUUCAACACUUCCGAAAAAUUUUCAAACGGCCGUUAACAUUUAGUGAUGAAAAUAUUUGAUUUCAUAUAGUUUAAUAAUUAAAAUAAAAAUAAUUAAAAAUUUAGUAAUCAAAGUAAAACACAAGUGAUAUUAUUCUAGUGAUCAUUUCUGUACUUGACCCUAAUUUUUUUUUCAAAACACUGUUAAAAAACGAUUAAUUUCUCGUUUUGGCCGGAGUUAAAAUUUUUAAUAUAUUUGUUUUUAUUAAAUUUAAAAAUUAUAAUUUUACAUAAUAUAUUUUUGAUAGAAUACAUAUGAUAUAAUUUUAAUCAGUGACACCUGUUAAAGCUUGUUAGAUCUCCUGUAUCUCUUUCAAUCUGGUGGUAAAUGAAGCAAUCAAUGAGUAUUACAACCAGCCACAUGUCAUUCAAUUCACAUUAUAUCAAUCUUUUCCCUUUUCUCUCAUUUUGGUAGUUAAUUCCUUUUUUUGUCAUCGAAAUUAUAUUUUUUUCUCAAAUUGAUAAUUUCCUUAAUCCGUUAAGUUUGUUAAAAGAAACCUUAAUCUUAUUUAAAUUAUAUCUUUUUUUUUUUAUUUUGAUACUUAAACAUUUUUGUCACAUGUGGUAUGUAAUUUAUUUUUUCUUAAGUUGUUAGUUUAAUUAUUACUCAAAUAGUUAAGUCUAUUUAAAAAAAGAUAACUAUUUAAAAAUUACCAUAUUCGAACUAGCUAGGCCAUUAGUUCCUGGUUUAAUCAGUUUAUCUAGUUUGAUGAAAUCAAUUAUUAAAAAUUCAUAAAAAUAAAAAUGUUAAAAAAUAGAGAAAACUAGCUCAACUAGUUUUUUUUUUAAGCUCGACUCAAUCAAUCUGUAUCAGUUUGUAGGUUAAUCGGUUCAAGCCCUAUCUCCAAACUAGUAUCCCAGUUGGUUCCUAGUAUUAAGGGUGAGCAAAAUUUGAAUCGACUCGAAAAAAUUUAAAAAAGUUCAAAUUUUGAAUUAUUUGAAUCGAGUUAAUCGAAUCAACUCGAUUUUUUUUUAAUUUCAAGUUCGAGUCGAGUUGAGUUUUUGAAUUCAAAUGACUCGAAUAAUUCGAUUAAGCCGAAUACCAAACUAUAAUAUUUUACAUUUUACCUCAAACCCCAAACCCUUUUACUUUUCCCCCAAAACUUUACUCAUUCCUCCUUGUCUGCCCCUGUAACGCCCCAAAUUUUGAAUUGUUACUGUUAGUUUCUAUUUAUAAGUAAGUAUUUGCUUCAGUGGUUAAGUGUUAUGUGUUGGUGUUUGGAUCGGGGGUUCAAGUUACACUUUUAGAGAAUUUUAUUAUUCUUUUGUUUCAACUCUUAUCCUUGAAUGCUUGAAUUAAGUUUGUAUCUGCAUUAAUUUGUGUCAAGAAUGAGUCUUCUAGUUUAAUGGUUAAGUUUUGUAUUACCUAUGGUCUCGUGUUCGAGUCUCUGCGUAGGCAAUAAAGAAAUAUUUUGGCAUGCUAUCGGGAAAUCAGUUUUAUUUUAAUAAUUAUUUUUAUUUAAAACUUAUUUUUAGUUUUUUUUAUUUUGGUUCUUCUCCUUCCUUACUGUUCAUUUCCUUCUUCUUUUUUCUCCUUUUGUAACACCCCUAACUCGAAUCCGUCGCUGGAACAGGGUUAGGAGUAUUAUUGAAGUUUACAAUUUAAACAGGCAGAAAAAUUAAACAUUUCAUAACAUAUAGCAUUCAUGUUAGAAACCAAUCAUAAUUAUGCAUAUUGUCCCUAAUACGAGCCCUCGAGGCCCAAAAUACACCUUAGAAAUAAUUCGGGACUAAAUUGAAAAUUCGGAGCAUUUUUUAGAAACUUAUAAAAUUUUUAAAACUACAGGGGUCACAUGGCCGUGUGGCUAGGUUGUGUGACUCAUAUGGCCAACAGACACGCCCAUGUCUUAGACCGUGCGGGUAUUCGAAAUAGGGACACACGGUCGUGUCCCAGCCAGUGUCCAUGCCCGUGUAACUCACUAACUUGGGCCACACGGUCAAGCCAUACGCCCGUGUGCCAGGCAUUGUGAGCAUACUAACUUGCAUUCUUUAAAAGAUACAGGGGACACACGGCCAUGUCACCUGACCGUGUGUGACACACGCCCGUGUCUCUGCCCGUGUGGACAAAAAUAGGCUAUUUUUCAAGUCAUAAAUAUUCAUGUAUUCUUUAAAAGAUACAGGGGACACACGCCCGUGUCUCUGCCCGUGUCUCUGCCCAAUUUGGUACCAACCUAAACACAACAAUUUGCAUAUAACCAAGUCAUAAAUAGGCAUCCAAAACCAGCCAAAAUCAAGCUUAAAACAUGUAAUAUCAUCACAUACAACCAAUAUGCCCUUAGGCACCUCAAAUGACAACUUAUAAUAUUAAUAUUCAUGUAUUCAAUAUAGCCAAAUGUAUAACUCACUUAUAUGCAUAUUUUCAUCCAAAGUUUAUUAAGCAAAUUUACAUCAUUUCUUACCAAAUUACUUACCUUCCAAAACAUAUUAUUUGGUGCUAAAAUGUAUUUAACAUACUAACAUAUUUAACUUAUAUGCCUUACAUAUCCAGACACCAAUUCAUGAUCAAUUCUUCACAUUCCAAAACACAUAUAUGAAAUGCACAUUAGGUUACCUUUUUACCACUCUUUAUUCAAUCAUGAACCAAACUACAUGUCAACCAUAAUAAGCAAAAUAUGCACAUAUCCAAAAUUCCAUAACACAAACAAAACAAAUGGCUAAUCUCAACAAAACACAUAUAAGCCAACAUUGGCCAAACUAAUCUAUACAUGCCAUUAUAACCGAAAUUAAACAACCGAAUGUACCAAAAGAGCCAAUGGAUAGUGUGAUAUAGCUCCGACAAGCUUUCAACCAGAACGAGCUUUCGAAUCACUAAAAACACAGAAAAUAACACAGAGUAAGCAUUCAAGCUUAGUAAGUUCAUAUAGCAUAUAAUUUAACUUACCAUUUAGUCACAUUUAAGGUAAGCAUACAAAACAUAUCCAAACUCAAUUAGGAUAAAAGCCUCAACACAUAUCCUCAUCAACCAUGUUAGUCAUGUAAUUCAUAUAAAUAUCAAGAAACAUGUAUGAGCUCAACAAUAAUCAAACUUGCAUGUACAUAUAAUUUCCACAUCAUGUAUUUACAUAUCAUGUACAAAUCAUUUUCAUAUAUCUCAUGUAAAUACAUGUAGUAGUUUGUAUUGAACUCAUGUAAUAUCAUAACAGAACAGUGCCCGUUGAACCAUUUAGAUUAUUGUUGGAUACGCGGAUAGUACACAUGAGGUGUACUGAACUGUAAUUCAUCAAUUCAUGUACAUGUAUGCUCAUAUGAGCUAUAAACAGUAAGCUCCUCUGAGAUGAAUAACAAUAAGCUUGUACGAGCUGAAUAUCGGUAAGCUCAUAUGAGCUGAGUAUCGGUAAGCUCAUAAGAGCUGAAAUCGAUAACCCUAAUGACAUGUUUACCAAGCCAUGACAUUCCACUAACACAUUUAACCUUUAAAAUUAUUUCAAUUUACAAGUUUAAGAAAGAACAUAAAAGAUGAUACUUGGCUUUAUUUUACUAAAUUUUGUUAUUUACUUAAUUACUUAUUUAACCUUUAAAAUCAUUUCAAUUUACAAGUUUACUAAGCCAUGACAUUCCACUAACACAUUUAAGGGUUAUUUACCAUAUAAGGACCUCUACUUUAAAUUUUUAUAGCUAUUUAAUACCUUUAGCUAUUAGAACUUUACUUUUACACUUUACGCGAUUUAGUCAUUUUUAUCAAAUUGAACAUGUAAACGGUAAAAUUUCUUAACGAAAUUUUCAUAUGGUAAUAUUAUCAUGUUUUCGACCAUAAAAUAAUAAUAAAAUAAAAUUUUUUACUUCAUAUUUGUGGUCCCAAAACUACUAUUCUGAUUUCACUGAAAAUGGGUUGUUACACCUUUCUUGCUUGAUUGCUUCCGUAAGUUUGCUAUCGUGCUUAAUUGGGCAUUCUGUGUGGUUUCUUACAUUGAUUGCAAGGAUAUUGCGUAAGUUAUGUUGUUGUUUUUUACCUAUUUUUUCUAGACUUCGUCUGUUUCGUCGAGGUUAGAUAUUACUGUUAAUGGUUGUAAAAUCUCGUUAAUAGUUCCAAUGGAUCUUCUUUUAGGAAAAGGUUUCAAAAGUAACAUUUCCCUGUGAGAUUAGGUCCGAAUUGUUGUUGCUUGCUUGUCAGUAAUUGAAAAUUUCUAUUUUGGAUAGCUGCGUCGAAGUUUUCGACGAACGUUAGUUUUGAGUGCUAAUUUUGGCAUUUUGAGUUGAUUUAGUCAUUUAAUUCGUCAAUUAAUUGUCGUUUUAGGUUUCAGAUUCUUGUGUGUUGCUUCUACAUCGAAACUACAUCAAGUGUGUAACGAAAACUCAUUUUUCUAUGAUUUACGAAUGCUAGAAAACAUGGCUGUUAAUCACACGACCGUGUGUUAGGCCAUGUAACUUACUGUUUAUGUAUUAAAGUCACCGAGCCAAGGACGUGGGCGUGUGUCCUAGUCGUGUAACUUACUAUUUGUGGAUUGGAGUCACACAGGCUAGGGACACGUUUGUGUGUCCAGACUGUGUGAAGGAAAUUUUAUGAAUUGAGUCACACAAGCGUGUGCUUGACUAUGUCAUAGACCGUGUAACUCACUUUUUUGAGCCACACGAUCGUGUGCCAGGCCGUGUGAUAGAUCGUGUGCUACACGGGCCAGCCUUCCGGGACAUGUGAAUCCACACAAGUGUGUGGGUCAAAAUUUCAAAUUUUUUAUUAGGGCCGUAAACAUCAUUCCAGUCAAACGUAGGCCUACUGUAGGGUCUGGAUGAUCUGAUUUGGGUUAUAAAACCCAUUGACUAGUUAUCUGUUUCUGUAUAAACUGUUAUUUUAUAUACAUCAUAGAAUUGUAAACUAGAGAGUAGUUGUAUUCUGUAUUAAUUGAGUAUAACCUGAAAUUUGUAACAUCGUAUGCUUAUAUCUGUAUCUGUAACAUUGCAUCUGCAUUGGGGUUGGGAUUGAAUAAGGAGGAAGUUAUGGCAGUUAAAUAAUCUGCUAAGACUGGUGGCUAAGACACGUAAAUGUAUCUAAUUUUGGUGACUUUCGCAUUCUGUCCUAGCAAUUAGUCUGCAACCUUUUGAACGUGACAUAUGGUCACUAUGUGGUGUGUAGGGACGAUACCCUUUUUGGUGUGUAGGGUUGGAUGCAGAUGGUGUGUAAUUGACAUAUUCUACUCUAUUUCCGUAUAUAAUUCUGAGAACUGUUCUAACUUUAAGAAAUUGAAGAUCUAUUUUGUUGUUUCACUUAAUAAUAAUAUAAGUUAUACGCUAUGUAUAACACCCUUUACCCGAGACCGUGGUCGGAGUCGAGCAUGAGGUGUUACUUGACUUAACUUAAAAGUUCAGGGCAUAAAAAUUUACUUUCAAAAUUAAUUUCACCAUUCACAAUAAAGUUGUCCACCUGAGCAGCAGUCACUAAAUUAAUUAUAACUCAAGCUAAGAAACUCGAAAUUUAGAUUCGUAAAUUUUCCCUGAAACUAGACUCAUAUAUCUAUUCACAAAAAUUUUUCAGAAUUUUUUAUUUGACCAAUUAGUACAGUUUAUUAGUUGAAGUCUCCCCAGUUUCACUAAUCGACUAUCCUGACCUCUCGUCACUAAAAUUCAAUUAUCUCAUUAUACAGACUUGACAUGCUGAUUCCACUUAUUUAUACUUAAAAUAUACUCAUUAAGGAAUUUAAAAAUAUAAUUUAUAACUCAUAAUUCUAUUUGUACAAUUUUUAAUGAAUUUCUAAAGUCAGAACAGGGGACUUCAGAAUCAUUCUGACUCUGUCUCACUAAAAUUAAAAUAUCUAAAAGUAUAUAACUCUUUUGCUUACUCUAUUGCUUUCAUGUGAAAGUAGACUCAUUCAGAUUUAAUUUCAUCUCUCGCUAAACAUAUAAUUCUAUUUCUACAAUUUUUGGUAAUUUUUCAAAGUUACAUCAAUGCUGCUGCCCAAAAAUAGUUCCAUUGAAAUUUUUAAAAAAAAAUUCAAUAUAACCCCUUUAUAAUUAUCUAACCUUCCCUGCAAAUUUCAAAUCACAACCAAUUUCAGUAUUUCAACUACUUCACUUAAAUACUAAUGAAGUUCAACUAAUCAACCAUUUCAAACUAAAAACAUGUAUAGUUCAAUGUUUAACACAACCAUCACAUUCAAAUUUAUUCAUUCUAUUACUUUUUACUUCAAUUCCCUAUACAUGUCAUAUAAAUCCAAAAAGUUGUUUAACAAAAUCUACAGGAGUAAAUCUGGAUAGUGUGAUUCUUGGUGUAGAUCUGAUCCUCCGAAUGUAUAAAUACGUCAAUCUACAAGAAUCAAUAAACACACAAUUAAGCGUAUAGAAAGCUUAGUAAGUUCAUAGGCACCAAACAUAAAUCUUACCAAACAUUUAUACACUUAUACAUUAUACACCAUUACUAAGUUUACCUGUCAACCACAAUCUUUGGUGAGUUCCUUGGUAUAAACUCACUACUACUUAUUCUUUUACCAUAAUUCCUUUGGGCCCAUUUGUCACUUACCAUCCUUGAUCAAAAUUAAGGAACGGUUACGGAAAAUUGAGUACUUCACUUUCACUUUGCCAUAGUAUAACUAUGGUCUUACGUAUGAUCAAACAUCACUUGUCCUUGAUAAGAUAAGUGUAGCUAGGCAACCACUUAUCACUUUGUCACUUGAUCAGAUAAGUGCAGCUAAAGCUACCAUUUAUCACUUUAUCACCACUUAUCACUUGUUCUUGAUUAGAUAAGUGUAGCUAAAGUUACCACUUAUCACUUUGUCACCACUUAUCACUUGUUCCUAAUCAGAUAAGUGUAGCUAAAACUACCACUUAUCACUUUGUCACUUGAUCAGAUAAGUGUAGCUAAGCUAUCACUUAUCACUUUGUCACUUGAUCAGAAGUACUCAAAUCCGGUGUUCUGCUCAAUUUGAUCAUUUAUUCAGUUUUCACAUUUUUAUUUUAUUCUCAUUUCAUCAAUAAAUAUAUAUAUUUCAUCAUACAUUAUAUAAUUCAUGAAAUUAACAUUUAAUCAUUAAAUUUUAGCCAUAUGAACUUACCUGGGUUGAUUUGCUGAAUUUGUAAAAGUUUAGGGACUAAUCAGCUACUUUUUUUUUCCUCGACUUGUUUCGGGUUCUCAAUAUGAUUCAAAUAUAUGAAAAACCAACUUGGAGGGACUCUUCAAUGGUGUUUUUUGCUAAAAAAUAUGAGGAAUUGCCUAGAAACACUUUUAGUUAAGAUUUUUAUUUGUUAUUUUUUACAAAAUUUCCAAUUUUGCCCUUAUUACAUCACUUUUUCAAAUUUUUCUUCUCUUAUGUCGUCUCAACUAUUCCAUAUUGGCAUAUUUAUGCCUUAAGUCCCUCCUUAUUUACCACUUAAGCUAUUUAAUCACUUUUAACAAAUUUUACAUUAUUUUCAGUUUAAUCCUUUUUAAUUAAUUAACCACCCAAACGUUAGAAUUUUCUAACGAAAAUUUAAUACCAACUCAAUGACACUCCAUAAAUGUUUCUAAAAAUAUUUAUGGCUCGAUUUAUGAGGUUGAGGUUUCAAUACCUCAUUUUCGAUUCUAAUUAUUUUAAUAUUUAUUCUUAGUACAUUAUUCACUAUUUCAAAAAUUUUCCUAACUUCGCAUUUAACUUAUACUCACUAAAUUAAUAAUAUUUUCUACUCAUUUGUCAAAUUUAAUGAUCUCGAAUUACCAUUCCGACACCACUGAAAAUUCAGGCCAUUACAACUCUCCCCCCAUUUUGGAAAUUUCAUCACCGAAAUUUCGUACCUGAAAAUAAAUUCGGAUACUGAAAUCUCAGCAAUUCCUCUGUUUCCCAGGUUGCCUCCUCAGAUCCAUGUCGAUUCCAUAACACCUUAACUAGUGGUACAUGUUUAUUCCUCAACUCUUUAACCUUCUGAGCUAAAAUUUUCACCGGUUCCUCUGAAUAAGUCAUGUCAGGUUGAAGCUCUAUUUCCGUAUGAGGAAUUACAUGUGAUGGAUCUGAUCUGUACCGUCUCAACAUAGACACAUGAAACACAUUAUGAAUCUUUUCAAGUUCCGGGGGCAAAGCUAAUCUAUAGGUUACCGGACCGAUUCUUUCAAUGAUUUCAUACGGCCCGAUAAAUCGUGGGCUGAGUUUCCCCUUUUUGCUGAACCGCAAAACUUUCUUCCACGGUGACACUUUCAAAAAUACACGAUCACCCACAUUAAACUCUAUAUCCCUUCUCUUCAAAUUUGCAUAUGAUUUUUGCCGAUCGGAGGUAGCUUUUAAACAAUCUCGAAUAAUACGAACUUUUUCUUCAGUUUCCUGAGUCAAUUCCACUCCCACUAGUUUCGAUUCACUUAAUUCAGACCAAUAUAAUGGAGUUCUACACUUUCUUCCAUACAAAGCUUCAAACGGUGCCAUUUUAAUGCUAGUUUGAUAACUAUUAUUAUAAGCAAAUUCGGCUAAAGGUAAAUACCUUUCCCAGCUACCGCCGAACUCAAGUAUACAACACCUUAACAUAUCUUCUAAAAUCUGAAUCACUCGCUCUGACUGCCCAUCUGUCUAGGGAUGAAAAGCUGUGUUGAAAUUUAAUUUGGUGCCUAAAGCUUCCUGUAAUUUACUCUAAAAUCUCGAGGUAAAUCUCGGAUCUUGAUCUGAAAUAAUAGAUGUCGGUACCCCAUGUAACCUCACUAUCUCAGACACAUAUAACUCCGCUAACUUUUCAAGCUGAUAAUCUGCUCUGACUGGAAUAAAAUGUGCUGACUUAGUUAACCGAUCAACAAUCACCCAUAUUGAAUGUUUCUUCUUCAGAGUUACUAGUAAUCCAGAUACAAAAUCCAUCGUAACAUGUUCCCAUUUCCAAUCUGGAAUCAUAAUGGGCUGUAACAACCCUGUCGGCACUUGAUGCUCAGCUUUCACCUGUUGACAGAUCAAACAUCUUGCUACAUACUCAAAGAUUUCCCGUUUCAUUCCGGGCCACCAAUACAUUUUCUUCAAAUCACAAUACAUUUUUGUACUACCCGGGUAAAUAGAACACAUACUACUGUGAGCCUCUGAUAAAAUAUCAUUUUUCAAGUUUAAAUUAUUCGGAAUACAUAUUCUAUUACGAUAAUAUAACAUACCAUUUUCAUCAAUGGAGUAUUCUGAGCUUAACUUAUCUUGAACCAUCUGUCGCUUUAUCAUCAAUUUUGGGUCAUCAUCCUAUAACUCCCGAAUCCGUUGAAAGAACACGGGUUUAGCCUUUAAUUCUGCUAGUACAGAACCAUCCUCAUUAAUAGAUAAAUGAGCAUUCAAUGCCCGUAGUGCAAAUAAUGAUGAUUUCCGACUAAGCGCAUCUGCUGCGGCAUUUGCUUUCCCUGGGUGAUAGUCAAUGACAAGAUCAUAAUCUUUCAGCAACCCCAACCAUCGUCUCUGUGUCAAAUUUAACUCUUUCUGAGUCAUUAAAUACUUCAAGCUUUUAUGAUCAGUAUACACGUAACAUUUCUCACCAUAUAAGUACUCUCCAUAUCUUCAAAGCAAACACGAUCGCUGCCAAUUCCAAAUCAUGUGUAGGAUAAUUCUUGUCGUGCGGUUUCAGUUGCCAAGAAGCAUAUGCCACCACUUUGCCUGACUGAAUAAGUACACAGCCCAACCCAUUUACAGAUGCAUCACUAUAUACUACAAACGGUACACCCGAUUCUGGUUGAGUCAACACUGGAGCCUCUGUCAACAUCUUUUUCAACUGAUCGAAACUCCGCUGACAUUCAUCUAACCAUAUAAAUUCAACAUUCUUUUGUAGCAAUCGAGUUAACGGUAAGGUAAUCAUUGAGAAAUCUUUGACAAAUCGACGAUAAUAACCUGCCAAUCGUAGAAAACUCUGCACUUCAGUCACAUUCUUCGGAACUUUCCAAUUUAUCACUGCCGCUACCUUACUUGGAUCCACUCUUAUUCCAUCAGCUGAUACAAUAUGACCCAAAAAUGCAACUUCAUGGAGCCAAAAUUCACAUUUGCUGAAUUUGGCAUACAAUUGUUUCUCCCACAAAGUCUGUAAUACAAUCAUUAGAUGUUGUGCAUGUUCGGACUCUGUCUUUGAAUAAAUCAAUAUAUCGUCAAUGAACACAACCACAAAUCUAUCCAAAUAUGACUGAAAAAUUCUAUUCAUCAAAUCCAUAAAAGCAGCAGGGGCAUUGGUUAAACCAAAUGGCAUCACCAAAAAUUCAAAAUGACCAUAUCGAGUUCGAAAGGCAGUUUUCGGCACUUCACACUCUUUAACUUUCAACUGAUAAUACUCGGAUCGAAGAUCUAUCAUGGAAAAUACUGUAGCACCUUUCAACUGAUCAAACAAAUCAUCAAUAUGAGGCAAAGGAUUUUUAUUCUUUACUGUUACCUUAUUCAACUGUCUGUAAUCUAUACACAGUCUUAAAAAACCGUCCUUCAUUUUCACAAACAAGACAGGUGUACCCCAGGGCGACAUACUCGGUCUGAUGAACCCUUUAUCUAAUAACUCCUGCAGCUGCGCCUUCCGUUCUUUUAACUCGACUGGAGCCAUUCUGUAUGGUGUCAUUGAGAUAGGAGUUGUUCCGGGGAUCACAUCAAUUACAAAUUCAACUUCUCUAUCAGGUGGUAGACCGGGUAACUCUUCAGGGAACAUAUCAGGGAAUUCAUUCACCAUUGGCACUUGUUCGAGCUUCAAACCAGAACCCUGAGUAUCCAGGAUAUAGGCCAAGAAUGCUUCGUUGCCUUUGUGUAAUAACCUCUGAGCAGAGAGAGCUAAAAUAAUUCUGACUGUAUCACCCAGAUUUUCAGACCCAACUGAGAUUAUAUCUCCCGUUUGACAUUUCAAACUGAUUUGUUUAUCACGAUAAUUCACUACCGCAUCAUGUCUCAUUAACCAGUCCAUCCCCAGAAUAAUGUCAAAUUCCCGAAAAGGUAACAACAUCAAAUCAGCGAGGAAUUCAUAGCCUUUCACUUUCAGUGGACAAUUACGACAUAUCAAAUUAACCAUCACACUUUGACCUAAUGGGUUUGUGACUUGUAUAUCAAAUUCAGUGGACUCAACAGAUAAUUUCUUUUUAGAUGCUAACAUAGUGCAAAUAUAUGAAUGAGUAGAUCCAGGGUCUAUCAAUGCAUAAACAAUAACAUCAUAAAGAUAGAAAGUACCAGCAAUUACAUCAGGAGCCGUAGCCUCUUUCCUUGCUCGAAUGGCGUAGGUACGUGCUGGUGCUCUAUUCUCUGAUCGACCAACUGAUUCCCUCGUACCCGAACGGGUAGUCCCUGUAGCACUGCUCUGGCCCGAACGUCUACUUUUUUGGGGAAUGGUUCUCUGUAUUUCUUUCUGUUCCACUUCAUCUUUUUACAGUCGGGAACAAUCUCGAAUAAGAUGAUUAGUACCCUCACAUUUUUAACAAGCCCCUAUCUUGGUCCUGCAUUCUCUGAAAUGAUAUCUUCCACAAUAUUGACACUUAGGCCGGGGAGCAUUCUGAACACUGCUCACACUUGCUGGAGGUCUAUCGAAUACCCUGAAAUCAGAUUGUCUUGGUCUAUCUCUACCCGAUCUUCUCGACAGUGAUGUAGUUCGACUAAUUUCUUCUCUAGAUUUGUUCACUGGUAAAUCUAAAAAUGACUUAGAAGCACCUCUUUUGAAUGGCUCUUUACUUUUUCGAUCCCGCUACAUUUUUCUGUUGUAUACUUCUUCGAGCUUUUGAGCACGGUCUGACAGAACAGGGAACUCUCGUAUUUCAUUACCCCCAAUCAUCAUUCUAAUUUCAUCAUUUAACCCUUCUUCAAACCUGAUACACAUUUCUUCUUUAAUAAGUACAAUGUCUCGGGCAUAUUUGCUGAGGUAGACAAAUUCUCUUUCGUAUUCAGCCACUGAUUUAUCUCCCUGGCGUAGGUCGAGAAAUUCCCUUUUAUUUUUAUCCAAAUACCGUCUGCCCACAUAUUUCUUCUUAAAUUCAUUUUGGAAAAAUUCCCAAUAAAUUUUCUCUGUCGGAACCACAUCCUCAAUCGUCUCCCACCAACUAUAAGCUUCUUCUUUCAAUAGAGACACAACACAACUCAAAUAAUCAUCUAGUGAGCAAACCAUUUCUUUAAAAAUUCUUAUUAAACUCUGUAACCAAUAUUCAGCUUUGACGGGAUCUUUAUCAGUCCUUCCCCGAAAUUCUUCGGCUCCAAGUUUUUUAAGCCUUUCCAAUGGAGAACGCUUUCUGGAUUCAGUCGUUGUAAAAGGUGGAGGAGCAACCGGGUGUGCCACCGAUGGAGCAGUAGGGGGAGGAGGUGGUUCAGCCUGAUUUCUUUCUUGCCUCAUUUCAGUAUAUCAUUGAUUCAUAAUCCCAUAAAUCAUAUUCUUUAACUCUUGCUCUCGCAUUUGGGAGAUCGGAACAUCACUGCUUGUUCUUUGUUUAGAAUUAUGUAUUCUACUAUUAACUUCUUCUUUCUCAGUACGUUUAGGUAUAUCUGACAUCUCCAUAACCGGAGAAUAUCUACUAUUAACUUCUUCUUACUGGAUUCAGUCGUUGUAAGAGGUGGAGAAGCAACCGGGGGUACCACCGAUGGAGCAGUAGGCAGAGGAGGUGGUUCAGCCUGAUUUCUUUCUUGCCUCAUUUCAGUAUACCACUGAUUCAUAAUCCCAUAAAUCAUAUUCUUUAACUCUUGCUCCCGUAUUUGGGAGAUCAGAACACCACUGCUUGUUCUUUGUUCAGAAUUAUGUAUUCUACUAUUAACUUCUUCUUGCUCAGUACGUUCAGGUAUAUCUGACAUCUCUAUAACCGGAGAAUAUCUAUAAAAAUAACAAAGAUUAGAUCGCAUCAUACGCAUUACACUAUCACAGAUUUAUAUGGCAUGUAUUUCUAAACACUUUACACUUUACACAUAUUCCGAGAACCGGCUAAACCUGGAUCUGAUACCAAUAAAAUGUAACACCCUUUACCUGAGACCGUUUCCAGAGUCGAGCAUGAGGCGUUACUUGACUUAACUUAAAAGUUCAGGGCAUAAAAAAUUACUUUCAAAAUUAAUUUCACCAUUCACAAUAAAGCUGUCCACCCACGCAGCAAUCUCUAAAUUAAUUAUAACUCAAGAUGCGAAACUCGAAAUUUAGAUCUGUAUAUUUUACCUAAAACUAGACUCAUAUAUCUAUUCACUACAAAAUUUUCAGACUUUUUGGUUUGGCAAAUUAGUACAGUUUAUUAAUUGAAGUCUCCCCUGUUUCACUAAUAGACUAUCCUGACCUCUCGUCACUAAAAUUCAAUUAUCUCAUUAUACAAACUUGACUUGGUGCUUUCAAUUAUUUUUACUUAAAAUAGACUCAUUAAGGAAUUUAAACAUAUAAUUUAUAACUCAUAAUUCAUUUUGUACAAUUUUUAAUGAAUUUCUAAAGUCAAAAUAGGGGACUUCAAAAUCAUUCUGACUCUGUCUCACUAAAAUUCAAAUAUCUAAAAGUAUAUAACUCUUUUGCUUACUCUAUUGCUUUAAUGUGAAAGUAGGCUCAUUCAGCUUUAAUUUCAUCUCUCACUCAACUUAUAAUUCUAAGUCCACAUUUUUGGUGAUUUUUCAAAGUUACAUCAAUACUGCUGUCCAAAAACUGUUCCAUUGAAAUUUUUUUAAAAAAUUUCAAUAUAACCCUUUUAUAAUUAUCUAACCUUCCCUGCAAAUUUUAAAUCACAACCAAUUUCAGUAUUUCAACCACUUCACUUAAAUACUAAUGAAGUUCAACCAAUCAACCAUUUCAAACUAAAAACAUGCAUAGUUCAAUGUCUAACACAACCAUCACAUUCAAAUUUACUUUGCAUAUUUAGAUAUUCAUUCUUUUACUUUUUACUUCAAUUCCCUAUACAUGUCAUAUAAAUCCAAAAAGUUGUUUAACAAAAUCUACCGGAGUAAAUCUUGAUAGUGUGAUUCUUGGUGUAGAUCCGAUCCUCUGAAUGUAUAAAUACGUCAAUCUACAAGAAUCAAUAAACGCACAAGUAGGCUUAAUAAACACACAAGUAAGCUUAUAGAAAGCUUAGUAAGUUCAUAGGCACCAAACAUAAAACUUACCAAACAUUUAUACACUUAUACAUUAUACACCAUUACUAAGUUUACCUGUCAACCACAUUCUUUGGUGAGUUCCUUGGUAUAAACUCACUAAUACUUAUUCUUUUACCAUAAUUCCUUUGGGCCCAUUUGUCACUUACCAUCCUUGAUCAAAAUUAAGGAACGGUUACGGAAAAUUGAGUACUUCACUUUCACUUUGCCAUAGUAUAAAUAUGGUCUUACGUAUGAUCACUUAUCACUUGUCCUUGAUCAGGUUAGUGUAGCUAGGCUACCACUUAUCACUUGUUCCUGAUCAGAUAAGUGUAGCUAAGCUAUCACUUGUCACUUUGUCACUUGAUCAAAAGUACUCAAAUCCGGUGUUCCGCUCAAUUUGAUCACUUAUUCAGUUUGCGCAUUUUUAUUUUAUUCUCAUUUCAUCAAUAAAUAUAUAUAUAUAUUUCACCAUACAUUAUAUAAUUCAUGAAAUUAACAUUUAAUCAUUAAAUUUCAUCCAUAUGAACUUACCUAGGUCGAUUUUCUGAAUUUGUAAAAGUUCAAGGACUAAUCAGCUACUUUUUCUUUUCCUCGACUUGUUUCGGGUUCUCGAUAUGAUUCAAAUAUAUGAAAAACUAGCUUGGAGGGACUCUUCAAUGGCGUUUUUUGCUGAGAAAUAUGAUGAAUUGCCUAGAAACUCUUUUAGUUAAGAUUUUUAUUUGUUAACUUUUACAAAAUUUCUAAUUUUGCCCUUAUUACAUCACUUUUUCAGAUUUUUCUUCUCUUAUGCCGUCUCAACUAUUCCAUAUUAGCAUAUUUAUGCCUUAAGUCCCUCCUUAUUUACCACUUAAGCUGUUUAAUCACUUUUAACAAAUUUUACAUUAUUUUCAGUUUAGUCAUUUUUAAUUAAUUAACCACCAAAACGUUAGAAUUUUCUAACGAAACUUUAAUACCAACUCAAUGACACUCUAUAAAUGUUUCUAAAAAUAUUUAUGGCUCGAUUGAUGAGUUUGAGGUUUCGAUACCUCAUUUUCGACUCUAAUUAUUUUAAUAUUUAUUCUUAGUACACUAUUCACUAUUUCAAAAAUUUUCCUAACUUCGCAUUUAACUUAUACUCACUAAAUUAAUAAUAUUUUCUACUCAUUUGUCAAAUUUAAUGAUCUCGAAUUACCAUUCCGACACCACUGAAAAUUCAGGCCAUUACAACUCUCCCCCCAUUUUGGAAAUUUCGUCCCCGAAAUUUCGUACCUGAAAAUAAAUUCGAAUACUGAAAUCUCAUCAAUUCCUCUGUUUCCCAGGUUGCCUCCUCAGAUCCAUGUCGAUUCCAUAACACCUUAACUAGUGGUACAUGUUUAUUCCUCAACUCUUUAACAUCCCAAGCUAAAAUUUUCACCGGUUCCUCUGAAUAAGUCAUGUCAGGUUGAAGCUCUAUUUCCGUAUGAGGAAUUACAUGUGAUGGAUCUGAUUUGUACCGUCUCAACAUAGACACAUGAAACACAUUAUGAAUCUUUGCAAGUUCCGGGGGCAAAGCUAAUCUAUAGGUUACCAGACCGAUUCUUUCAAUGAUUUCAUACGGCCCGAUAAAUCGUGGGCUGAGUUUUCCCUUUUUGCUGAACCGCAAAACUUUCUUCCACGGUGACAGUUUCAAAAAUACACGAUCACCCACAUUAAACUCUCUAUCCCUUCUCUUCAAAUCUGCAUAUGAUUUUUGCUGAUCGGAGGCAGCUUUUAAGCAAUCUCGAAUAAUACGAACUUUUUCUUCAGUUUCCUGAGUCAAUUCCACUUCCACCAGUUUCAAUUCACUUAAUUUAGACCAAUAUAAUGAAGUUCUACACUUUCUUCCAUACAAAGCUUCAAACGGUGCCAUUUUAAUGCUAGUUUGAUAACUAUUAUUAUAAGCAAAUUCGGCUAAAGGUAAAUACCUUUCCCAGCUACCGCCGAACUCAAGUAUACAACACCUUAACAUAUCUUCUAAAAUCUGAAUCACUCGCUCUGACUGCCCAUCUGUCUGGGGAUGAAAAGCUGUGUUGAAAUUUAAUUUGGUGCCUAAAGCUUCCUGUAAUUUACUCUAAAAUCUCGAGGUAAAUCUCGGAUCUCGAUCUGAAAUAAUAGAUGUCGGUACCCCAUGUAACCUCACUAUCUCAGACACAUAUAACUCCGCUAACUUUUCAAGCUGAUAAUCUGCUCUGACUGGAAUAAAAUGUGCUGAUUUAGUUAACCGAUCAACAAUCACCCAUAUCGAAUCUUUCUUCUUCGAAGUUACUGGUAAUCCGGAUACAAAAUCCAUCGCAACAUGUUCCUAUUUCCACUCUGGAAUCAUAAUGGGCUGUAACAACCCUGUCGGCACUUGAUGCUCAGCUUUCACCUGUUGGCAGAUCAAACAUCUUGCUACAUACUCACAGAUUUCCCAUUUAAUUCCGGGCCACCAAUACAUUUUCUUCAAAUCACAAUACAUUUUUGUACUAACCCGGUGAAUAGAACACAUACUACUGUGAGCCUCUGAUAAAAUAUCAUUUUUCAAGUUUAAAUUAUUCGGAAUACAUAUUCUAUUACGAUAAUAUAACAUACCAUUUUCAUCAAUGGAGUAUUCUGAGCUUAACUUAUCUUGAACCAUCUGUCGUUUUAUCAUCAAUUUUGGGUCAUCAUCCUGUAACUCUUGAAUCCAUUGAAAGAACACGGGUUUAGCCUUUAAUUCUGCUAGUACAGAACCAUCCUCAUUAAUAGAUAAAUGAGCAUUCAAUGCCCGUAGUGCAAAUAAUGAUGAUUUCUGACUAAGUGCAUCUGCUGCGGCAUUUGCUUUCCCUGGGUGAUAGUCAAUGACAAGAUAAUAAUCUUUCUGCAACUCUAACCAUCGUCUCUAUCUCAAAUUUAACUCUUUCUGAGUCAUUAAAUACUUUAAGCUUUUAUGAUCAGUAUACACGUAACAUUUCUCACCAUAUAAGUAGUGUCUCCUUAUCUUCAAAGCAAACACGAUCGCUGCCAAUUCAAAAUCAUGUGUAGGAUAAUUCUUGUCGUGCGGUUUCAGUUGCCGAGAAGCAUAUGCCACCACUUUGCCUGACUGAAUAAGUACACAGCCCAACCCAUUUACAGAUGCAUCACUAUAUACUACAAAUGGUACACCCGAUUCUGGUUGAGUCAACAUUGGAGCCUCUGUCAACAUCUUUUUCAACUGAUCAAAACUCCGCUGACAUUUAUCUGACCAUAUAAAUUCAACAUUCUUUUGUAGAAAUCGAGUCAACUGUAAGGUAAUCAUUGAGAAAUCUUUGAUAAAUCGACAAUAAUAACAUGCCAAUCGUAGAAAACUCCACACUUCAAUAACAUUCUUCGGAACUUUCCAAUUUACCAUUGCCGCUACCUUACUUGGAUCGACUCUUAUUCCAUCAGCUGAUACAAUAUGACCCAAAAAUGCAACUUCAUGGAGCCAAAAUUCUCAUUUGCUAAAUUUGGCAUACAAUUGUUUCUCUCACAAAGUCUGUAAUACAAUCCUUAGAUGUUGUGCAUGUUCGGACUCUGUCUUUGAAUAAAUCAAUAUAUCGUCAAUGAACAACCACAAAUCUAUCCAAUUAUGACUGAAAAAUUCUAUUCAUCAAAUCCAUAAAAGCAGCAAGGGCAUUGGUUAAACCAAAUGGCAUCACCAAAAAUUCAUAAUGACCAUAUCGAGUUUGGAAGGCAGUUUUCGGCACAUCACACUCUUUAACUUUCAACUGAUAAUACCCAGAUUGAAGAUCUAUCUUGGAAAAUAUUGCAGCACCUUUCAACUGAUCAAAUAAAUCAUCAAUAUGAGGCAAAGGAUAUUUAUUCUUUACUGUUACCUUAUUCAACUGCCUGUAAUCUAUACACAGUCUUAGAGAACCGUCCUUUUUUUUCACAAACAAGACAGGUGCACCCCAGGGCGACAUACUCAGUCUGAUGAACCAUUUCUCUAAUAACUCCUGUAACUGCGCCUUCAACUCUUUUAACUCGGCUGGAGCCAUUCUGUACGGUGUCAUUGAGAUAGGAGUUGUUCCGGCGAUCACAUCAAUUACAAAUUCAACUUCUUUAUCAGGUGGUAGACCGGGUAACUCUUCAGGGAACACAUUAGGGAAUUCAUUCACUACUGGCACUUGUUUGAGCUUCAAACCAGAACCCUGAGUAUCCAUGAUAUAGGCCAAGAAUGCUUCGUUGCCUUUGCGUAAUAACCUCUGAGCAGGGAGAGCUGAAAUAAUUCUGACUGUAUCACCCAUAUUUUCAGACCCAACUGAGAUUAUAUCUCCCGUUUGACAUUUCAAAUUGAUCUGUUUAUCACGACAAUUCACUACCGCAUCAUGUCUCACUAACCAGACCAUCCCAAGAAUAAUGUCAAAUUCUCGAAAAGGUAACAACAUCAAAUCAGCGGGGAAUUCAUAGCCUUUCACUUUUAAUGGACAAUUACGACAUAUCAAAUUAACCAUCACACUUUGACCUAAUGGGUUUGUGACUUGUAUAUCAAAUUCAAUGGACUUAACAAAUAAUUUCUUUUCAGAUGCUAACAUAGUGCAAAUAUAUGAAUGAGUAGAUCUAGGGUCUAUCAAUGCAUAAACAAUAACAUCAUAAAGAUAGAAAGUACCAACAAUUACAUCAGGAGCCGUAGCCUCUUCCCUUGCUCGAAUGGCGUAGGUACGUGCUGGUGCUCUAUUCUUUGAUCGACCAACUGAUUCCCUCGUACCCGAACGGGUAGUCCCUGUAGCACUGCUCUGGCCCGAAUGUCUACUUCUUUGGGGAAUGGUUCUCUGUAUCUCUUUCUGUUCCACUUCAUCUUUUUACAGUCGGGGACAAUCUCGAAUAAGAUGAUUAGUAGCCCUACAUUUUUAACAAGCCCCCAUCUUGGUCCUGCAUUCUCCGAAAUGAUAUCUUCCACAAUAUUGACACUUAGGCCGGGGAGCAUUCUGAACACCGCUCACACUUGCUGCAGGUCUAUCGAAUACCCUGAAAUCAGAUUGUCUUGGUCUAUCUCUACCCGAUCUUCCCAACAUUAAUGUAGUUCGACUAAUUUCUUCUCUAGAUUUCUUCACUGGCAAAUCUAAAAAUGACUUAGAAGCACCUCUUUUGAAUGGCUCUUUACUUUUUCGAUCCCGCUGCAUUUUUCUGUUGUAUACUUCUUCGAGCUUUUGAGCACGGUCUGACAGAACAACGAACUCUCGUAUUUCAUUACCCCCAAUCAUCAUUCUAAUUUCAUCAUUUAACCCUUCUUCAAACCUGAUACACAUUUCUUCUUUAGUAGGUACAAUGUCUCGGGCAUAUUUGCUGAGGUAAACAAAUUCUCUUUCGUAUUCAGCCACUGAUUUAUUUCCCUGGCGUAGGUCGAGAAAUUCCCUUUUAUUUUUAUCCAAAUACCGUCUGCCCACAUAUUUCUUCUUAAAUUCAUUUUGGAAAAAUUCCCAAUAAAUUUUCUCUGCUGGAACCACAGCCUCAAUCGUCUCCCACCAACUAUAAGCUUCUUCUUUCAAUAGGGACACAGCACAUCUCAAAUAAUCAUCUGGUGAGCAAACCAUUUCUUUAAAAAUUCUUAUCAAACUUUGUAACCAAUAUUCAGCUUUGACGGGAUCUUCAUUAGUCCUUCCUGAAAUUCUUCGGCUCCAAGUUUUUUAAGCUUUUCCAAUAGAGAACGCUUACUAGAUUCAGUCGUUGUAGGAGGUGGAGGAGUAACCGGGGGUACCAUCGAUGGAGCAGUAGGGGGAGGAGGUGGUUCAGCAUGAUUUCUUUCUUGCCUCAUUUCAAUAUACCACUGAUUCAUAAUCUCAUAAAUCAUAUUCUUUAAUUCUUGCUCUCGCAUUUGGGAGAUCGGAACAUCACUGCUUGUUCUUUGUUCAGAAUUAUGUAUUCUACUAUUAACUUAUUCUUACUUAGUUCGUUCAGGUAUAUCUGACAUCUUUAUAACUGGAGAAUAUCUAUAAAAAUAACAAAGAUUAGAUCGGAUCAUACGCAUCACACUAUCACAGAUUUAUAUGGCAUGUAUUUCUAAACACUUUACACUUCACACAUAUUCCGAGAACCGGCUAAACCGGGAUCUGAUACCAAUAAAAUAUAACACCCUUUACCCAAGACCGUUGCCCGAGUCGAGCAUGAGGCGUUACUUGACUUAACUUAAAAGUUCAGGGCAUAAAAAUUUACUUUCAAAAUUAAUUUCACCAUUCACAAUAAAGCUGUCCACCUGCGCAGGAGUCACUAAAUCAAUUAUAACUCAAGCUACGAAACUCAAAAUUUAGAUCCGUAAAUUUUCCCUAAAACUAGACUCAUAUAAAUAUUCACCAUAAAUUUUUAAGAAUUUUUAGUUUAUCCAAUUAGUAUAGUUUAUUAGUUUAAGUCUCCCUUGUUUCACUAAUAGACUACCCUGACCUCUCGUCACUAAAAUUCAAUUAUCUCCUUAUACAGACUUGACAUGGUGCUUCCAAUUAUUUUUACUUAAAAUAUACUCAUUAAGGAAUUUAAAAAUAUAAUUUAUAACUCAUAAUUACUUUUUUACAAUUUUUAUUGAAUUUCUAAAUUCAGAACAGGGGACUUCAAAAUCAUUCUGACCCUGUCUCACUAAAAUUCAAAUAUCUAAAAGUAUAUAACUCUUUUGCUUACUCUAUUGCUUUCAUGUGAAAGUAUACUCAUUCAGAUUUAAUUUCAUAUCUCACUUAACUUAUAAUUCUAUUUCCACUAUUUUUGGUGAUUUUUCACAGUUACAUCAAUGCUGCUGUCCAAAAACUGUUCCAUUGAAAUUUUUAAAAAAAAUUCAAUAUAACCCCUUUAUAAUUAUCUAACCUUCCCUGCAAAUUUCAAAUCACAACCAAUUUCAGUAUUUCACCUACUUCACUUAAAUACUAAUGAAGUUCAACCAAUCAACCAUUUCAAACUAAAAACAUGUAUAGUUCAAUGUCUAACACAACCAUCAUAUUCAAAUUUACUUUGCAUACUUAGUCAUUCAUUCUAUUACUUUUUACUUCAAUUCCCUAUACAUGCCAUAUAAAUCCAAAAAGUUGUUUAACAAAAUCUACCAGAGUAAAUCUAGAUAGUGUGAUUCUUGGUGUAGAUCCGAUCCUCCGAAUGUAUAAAUACGUCAAUCUACAAGAAUCAAUAAACACAUAAUUAAGCUUAUAGAAAGCUUAGUAAGUUCAUAGGCACCAAACAUAAAUCUUACCAAACAUUUAUACACUUAUACAUUAUACACCAUUACUAAGUUUACCUGUCAACCACAAUCUUUGGUGAGUUCCUUGUUAUAAACUCACUACUACUUAUUCUUUUACCAUAAUUCCUUUGGGCCCAUUUGUCACUUACCAUCCUUGAUCAAAAUUAAGGAACGGUUACGGAAAAUUGAGUACUUCACUUUCACUUUGCCAUAGUAUAACUAUGGUCUUACAUAUGAUCACUUAUCACUUGUCCUUGAUAAGAUAAGUGUAGCUAGGCUACCACUUAUCACUUUGUCACUUGAUCAGAUAAUUGUAGCUAAAGCUACCACUUAUCACUUUAUCACCACUUAUCACUUGUUCCUGAUCAGAUAAGUGUAGCUAAAACUACCACUUAUCACUUUGUCACCACUUAUCACUUGUUCCUGAUCAGAUAAGUGUAGCUAAAGCUACCACUUAUCACUUUGUCACUUGAUCAGAUAAGUGUAGCUAAGCUAUCACUUAUCACUUUGUCACUUGAUCAGAAGUACUCAAAUUCGGUGUUCCGCUCAAUUUGAUCAUUUAUUCAGUUUUCACAUUUUUAUUUUAUUCUCAUUUCAUCAAUAAAUAUAUAUAUUUCAGCAUACAUUAUAUAAUUCAUGAAAUUAACAUUUAAUCAUUAAAUUUCAGCCAUAUGAACUUACCUGGGUCGAUUUAUUGAAUUUGUAAAAGUUCAGGGACUAAUCAGCUACUUUUUCUUUUCCUCGACUUGUUUCGGGUUCUCAAUAUGAUUCAAAUAUAUGAAAAACCAGCUUGGAUGGACUCUUCAAUGGCGUUUUUUGCUGAGAAAUAUGAUGAAUUGCCUAGAAACUCUUUUAGUUAAGAUUUUUAUUUGUUAACUUUUACAAAAUUUCCAAUUUUGCCCUUAUUACAUCACUUUUUCAGAUUUUUCUUCUCUUAUGCCGUCUCAACUAUUCCAUAUUAGCAUAUUUAUGCCUUAAGUCCCUCCUUAUUUGCCACUUAAGCUGUUUAAUCACUUUUAACAAAUUUUACAUUAUUUUCAGUUUAGUCCUUUUUAAUUAAUUAACCACCCAAACGUUAGAAUUUUCUAACGAAACUUUAAUAUCAAUUCAAUGACACUCUAUAAAUGUUUCUAAAAAUAUUUAUGGCUCGAUUGAUGAGUUUGAGGUUUCGAUACCUCAUUUUUUAUUCUAAUUAUUUUAAUAUUUAUUCUUAGUAUACUAUUCACUAUUUUAAAAAUUUUCCUAACUUCGCAUUUAACUUAUACUCACUAAAUUAAUAAUAUUUUCUACUCAUUUGUCAGAUUUAGUGAUCUAGAAUUACCAUUCCGACACCACCGAAAAUUCAGGCCAUUACAUUAUGUUUAUUGACUCAUUUUUUCUGUUGACUGAAUUUCAGGUAACUCAUCGACUUAGGCGGGUCGGCAUGGCGAGAGCUCGGUCAUCCUUAUUUAGUAAUUUUCUGUUUAAAUUAAACUUAUGCUAUAGUUGUUUUAUCUUGAAUUACAGAUUGCAAAUUUAUAUUUCUACACUAGUUCAACUAUUUAAACAUUUUCUGACAAUUAAACUUUAAUUAGUUAAAAGUGAGAAUUUCUUAAAUGAUUUGUUGUAGCUUUCCAAGCUUGGUCCUAACAUCUAGGUCGGGUUUGGGGUGUUACAACCCAAAACCCCCAAACUUUCCCCUCAAAACUUUUACUCCCCCACCCUUUCUCUUUCUCGCUCACCCUCCCAAACCCUUUUACUUUUCCCCCAAAACUUUUACUUCCCACUUUUACCCCCAAAUCAAAAAUCAAAAUCCUCCCAAAAAAAUCCUUAAACCUAAAUAGUAAUAAUUUUAUUUAUGGCCACUAUUUAUAUUAUAAAUUAAAUUUCACAUUUUCUAUUAUUUAUAUUAUUAAAUUGUUUAAUCAUUUUGAAUCUUUAUCAAUUUCUGUUAAAACUGUAUCAUUGAUGAUGUCAUACAUUAUUUGUGUUAAAAAUUUCUAUUGGUAUCAAUUUCACAUUUUAUCUUUAAAAUAAAUUUUAUUAAAAAAAUUACUUUUUUACAUUUAAUAUAUUUUUUAAUUUCAAAAUAUAUGGUGACAAGAAUUAGAAGAUAAUUGAAGCAACUAAGCAAGUAAAAAAGCUAACAUGUAUAUAAAAGAUUAAAUAAAUUAUGAAGGGAUGAAAGUUAAUAACACAUUUGAUUACGGUGGACAAAUUUGAUAAUGAUGGGUGACAGUGGCUACAAGGAUCCAAAGUAAUUUUUUCAAUUAACUGGAAACAAAUAUAUUCGAUUCGAUUCGAUAAAAUUUGAAAUCAUUUUAGGAUGAUAAAAUAAGAUUCGUCAACUCGAUUAACUCGAAGUUUUUUCAUUUGAUUCGAUUAGACGCUCACCCCUACAAAGUAUGACCGAUUGGUCUGAUUCUGAAAAAAAUUGGUUUUGAUCAAUGAAAGAACUUUUACGAUGGCGACAGGUCUAACAAACAGGUGAUAUUUUGAAAAGAAAAUUAAUCUCCAUAGUCUCAACCUUAGGAGGGUGAAUUUUGAGCAUUGCAUUUGUUGUCAUUGUUAGACAUUAUAAAGGAAGAAAAAAGAAAGAAAAAAGUUAAAAUGAGGGAAAUUAUUGAAAAAAAGAGAGAAGAGAAUAAUUAAUUUUUUUUAAAAUUUUACAUGUCAAUCUAUUAUUGAUUAGAUUUUUUUAAUGAGUGUAACAUUUUGGUGUUAAAUGGAUAAUAAAAAAAUAUUUUAAGUAUCAUUUAUGAUAAAAAUAUUUAGGUAUCAAUUUGAAAAAAAUAUGUAGCUUAGAUACUAAUUGAUGGGUUAAUUUUUUUAGCUUAAUAAUUUGAUUAAACCGAAAUACCAACUGAAAAAAAGUUUACUCGCCGCUUAUGAAAAAAAAUAAGUAUGAAUUUGUAAGUUAAAUCUCCCUAAAAGAAAAAAUAUAUCACAUUCAAUACGGGGUGAAUGAAGCAAUGAAUGCAAUGGGGUAUUACAACCAGCCACAUGUCAUUCAAUUCAUGUUAUAUCUACCUUGUUGGCCCCACAGGCGGUCUUUUCCAUUAUUUUCGAAGUGAACGACAUGAGUCGGACCUAUAUCGGCCCCAACAAACAACCUCAACCACUUGUUUUGUUAGGUUGUUGACUAAUUUGAAUAUGUCGGCUCAAAGCUUUUUGAAAAUUAAAUUAUUUUUUAUAUUAAUAUCAUAUAGGUAUAAAAAUUUAACGUUUUGUAAAAAAAAUAAAUUUAGUGUUAAAUUUAAAUAAUUAUAAAAAAUUAUACAAAAUACAAAGACAACUUAGAGUCAAUAAAAAAAAUAUGGAAAAUCAAUUCAUACAUGAAAUGGCAUAAAAAUAUUAUGAACACUAUACAAAUAUAUGAAUGUUUUUAUAUCUAUAUAAAAUAAGUUAUUAACGCUUAAAUUUCAACCAAUUAAAUAUUAAUUUAACUAUAAACUAUAAAAAAUUAAAAUUUCAUUUACCCUAAACAAUUAUUCUAAUUUCGCCCCUGUAUAAAAUAGUUGUAAUAUUAAAAAAAAAGUUAUACGAAUAUGGAGUGUUAAAAAAAAAGGCUUUCAACUUUUAAUAUUCCAAACAAAUAAAAGAAAUAAUAAUAACAGUUUACAAGUGCAAUAAAAGUAAUACAUAUUUGAUGAAUUAAAAAUAGAAUAAAUAUAACUAACUAUAACAGAAAUAUAUUUAGAUUUAAACCAAAUUUUUUUGAAGAUGAAAUUUGAACUCACAAAUAAUAUUUAUAAAUGAUGAUAUGUUUUAGAACAUGUAUAUUUUAAUUUCAUUUGAUAUUUAAAUUAAAUGAAUGAAAUGAGUAUAUUAGCAUAAAUAUAUUGAAUUUCUAGAUUUAUUAAAAAUCCAACUAAAUAGAGUAGAUCCAUAAAUUUAAAAAAUGAUUAUGGAUUUUGAAAUAUAAAUCUAAAAUUUAAAAUCUGAAACCCUCCUAAAUGUUUUCCAAAGUAAGGCGGGGAUAAAUGGUAUAGGGAAGACGGUGGGUAGAUAGAUGUACGGUUUAUUUAUAACUUCGUUUUUAUUAGUCGGCUUACAGUUUCAUAAAAAGCAUCCGUGCAAGGCAUGUUCAAAUGCUGCACUAGCAUACCACUACUAUAAAAAAAACACAUACAAGAGCACCACAAAUUUAUCCCAAAAUACAUUAAAUAAAUGACUCCUAAGGGUGCCAGAUUUAACUAGUGUGUCUGGGAUUGUAUUAGCCUCUCUGAGGCCAUGUGAAAAAAUUUAAUGUUAUUGUUAUAUUUCCAUCUCGAUACGUUGCAAGACAUGAAGCAAUCUGUAAACAACUCUCUUUUGGAAGCAGUUUGCAUACGACUCUUCGCUAAGAACCAUUUGUUGUGAUCUUUCGCUUAGGAUUGCUCACAAAUGACCCCCAUGCACCCUAUCUCUCUCCCUCCUUAACUCAUCAUCUUGAACUCUCAUCCUAUUAUAGGUGAAUCGAGACUCUUCUCCUCCACCCUUUCCUCGUUGGUUACUUGUAGCAAAAAAAAUUAAUUUCACCGAAAAUGUUGGAGAGAUCCCAUGGUCUAAGUGUGUUGUUAGAGCAAAGCUCGAUGGCAAAUUUGGAGUCAAAUUUUAGAAUCAACCCUUUAAAAUCCAUUACACCGUAAAGGAAAAUUUUUACAAUUACAUUAACAAUAAAUAUUCAAAAUUUACUCAUCUAUCUAUACUUAUAUUAAGCCUUAUUUGAGUUGGAGUCAAGAGUCAACUAGGUACUAACUCAGUUGAGAAUUUACUAAAUAAUUUUAAUAUAAAGUAAAAAAAAUAUUAAUACGAGGGUGUUUUUAUCUUUUCAUAUUUUUAAAUAAAAAUACUAUAAUAAGAUUUAAACUUAAGUUUAAAAUUUCAAUCAAAACAUCACUUAAAUUUAAAAUAACAUUUUUAUAUAAAAUGUGUUUAGAUUCUAAGAUAAUGAAAUUUAUGAUGAGGUAUUCAAAAUGUGUUUGAAUAUGCUAAUGAGAUAUUCAAAUUGGUAUGCACAUUCCUAAUCAGGGAGCAUUAAUGAUAAUUUAGUAAAAUAAAUUAUCUCAUUAGCAUAUAGUUUAUUAUAAAAUUAUUGUGUAAAAUAAACAAUUCACAAACUUAAGAAUUUAUAACACAAAAAUUAUACAUCAAUGUUGUUAGAAUUGUAUUAUAUCCAUCGGUUGAAUUUAAAUUUAAAAAUUUAAUCAGCGAUAAUAAUUAAAAUCGUUUCAAACUAGUAAAAUAUUGAAAAUUAAGAACUAAUAAAAUAGAUUCUAAUUAUUUUUAUUUAAAAAAUGUUACCUUCUUAUUCAGGUUACAUUAAGACAAACCCAUCUUAAUUAUAAGUAUCAUAUUGUGAAUGGUAAACUUCUUACACAACAUCCACCAUUUGUCCAAAUAUGUUAAAUUAGGUGCAACAUAGAAAUUUUAUUGUAAGGAGUGAAUCUCAUUGUUUUUAUUUUCAUCAAACAUACGUCUAACUUUAUUAUUACGGGAUUAGAACUUAAAUUUGAUAAAUUGUGUGGUUUUAGGUGAUUUCUUUUCGUUAAAUUUAUCUAAAUCAACCUAACACUCGAAAAGUGAGAAUUCUCCUAAAAAUUCUUUAUGUUAGCAAAAAAUAUAGUGGAAGUAACUUGAAACGAAAGAGCAAUGAGAGAAUUGAAAAGACACAAGAAAAUAAUGCAUACAAGGUGUUUGAGUAAAUGCUCUCAAUAAAUUCUUUAACUCAAGAAGGAAUGAAGUACAACCAGUAUCUAGCCCCCCUAAAAUAGAAAAUUUUCCAUUUAUAUACCUUUAUAAUUUAUAAAAUUUAAAAUUUUACUUUCCCAUAAAAUGAUAAAAAAUUGAUUUAUUUCUUUAAAAAUUAUAAAGAUGACUAUUAAAAUAGUAAAAUUGUAUUUUUAUUAUUGUAAAAAUAUACAAUUUAAUUCUGUCUCCCAAAUUUUUUUUUUUUGGUUUCAUCCCUAAGUACAAUGAUCGUUGUAGCAGGAUACAUAGGCAUUCUAGCACAGAAUGCAAAUAUGUUGCCAAUUAACUUCGAGUCAUGGCAUAAAGUGCCCGAGAGUAACAAGAACCAAGCUCUCGAUAACAUUAAGGUAACAAAAUGUGUAUAUCAUUUAUAAUACUUGAGUUUAAGUUUCGUUUACAUUUACUUUCUGAAGUUGUGUUUUUUGUAGGGGAGAUUUGCUCUAGAGGUCUCCGAUGCUUAUGUAAAGAAGGCAUUGGGAAAAAGAUGGAGAGACCAUAAGAGCACUUUAAAGAAAGACUAUUUUAAGACAAAAACAACACUCGACGAGAGAUUACAAAAUGUCACGCCGGGAAUGCUGAGGUACCAGUGGGAAGAAGUCGUUAGAUUUUGGACUUCGAAGAAAGGAGAGGUAUGUGUUACUACAAAAAUCUUGUAAUUAUUUUGGUUUAUAGUAUUUACUAAUUAACGUACUAAUAAUUUCAUAACGUAGGAUCGUGAACGAGUUGGAACAAGUAGUAGGCAGAAACAAAAAUUCACGCACACAGCUGGGUCGAGAAGUUUUGCGUGUGUAGCUCAGGCCGAGGUAUUUUGAAUUUUUUAAUACUGGCAGAUAUUUAUUACUUUCUAUCAAAUAAUAUUUUUACUAUUGUAUUGUAGGAAGUGUUGUCGGGUCAAAAAGUUGGACGCCUUCAACUUUUUGACAUUACACAUAGGAAGAAAGAUGGAAACCCUAUGACUCCUGAAGCUGCAGAAAUUAUGGUACGUUUGCUUAAUACAAUUUGACUUGUUUUAAUUAUUUAUGCUGUUUAUUUUCUAAUGUUUUUUAUUACAUUUCUUGUAAUGCAAAUAUUGUUAAGUUAUGUUGCAUUUGUUUUGUUAAUAUAUGUUGCGUUCUUAACUAUGUGAUUUAUUUUUUAGGAAAAACUGAAGGAUAAAAAGGCGGAGUACGAAGCGAUUGCUUCCAGUGAUAGUUCUGUUCAUAUUGACGACAUUGAUAACCGGAUUAUCACUGAAGUUUUGGGUCCUGAAAGGUAUGGUCGGGUUCGAUUUCAAGGAUCUUUUGUUAACCCAUCCCAAUAUUUUGGAUCCAGCUCGCAACAAUACAUGCAUUCGGGGAGUCAGGCUCAAGCUGAAGUUCAGAGGUUAAGAGACCAGAUAGCUCAGAUGCAAGCGGCAACGAGUGAGCAAAUUACACAACUUAAAGCGGAGGCAACAUCGAGAGAAGCUGAGGUUCAAAAAAGAUAUGAAGAACUCCAGCUACAACUUAAAGCAGAUGCGGCAGCGAGAGAAGCAGAGGUAGCAGCGAGAGAAGCUGAGGUUCAACGAAAGUAUGAGCAACUGCAGCAGCAGCUUAAAGAAGAUGCGGCAACGAGAGAAGCAGCGGCUGCAGCGAGGGAAGUAGAGGCUGCAGUGAGGGAAUCAGAACAGCAUAAAAAGUUCGAUGAACUCCAGCAGCAGCUUCAGAAUAUGAUGAAGAUGUUUCAGCAGUCGCAACCGCCGUCAUCUUAGACUAUCGUUUAAAUAUACUUCAAUUUUGACUUUGGUAUUAUUAUUUUAACUUUUACAAUUUCUGUCAGAAUAAUACGAAUUUUAUUUUAUUUAUUGACAUUUAUUUUAAAUAUUAUAUAGAUUUGGUUAGAUUUGGUUGGUUGGAUUUGGUUUCUUCUGAUUUGUUUUUAUAGGAGGGGGCUGAAAUUUUUUUUUUCAAAUCUGCAAAAAUUAGCGGCGUUUUUUUGGAUAAGCGCCGCUAAAGACCAUCGUCUAUAGUGGAAUUUUUUGGCUAAGCGCCGCUAAAGACCAUGGUCUAUAGUGGCAUUUUUCGGCUAAGCACCGCUAAAGACCAUGGUCUAUAGUGGCGUUUUUUGUCUAAGCGCCGCUAAAGACCAUGGUGUAUAGUGGCAUUUUAUGGCUAAGCGCCGCUAAAGACCAUGGUGUAUAGUGGCGUUUUUUGGCUAAGCGCCGCUAAAGACCAUGGUCUAUAGUGGCGUUUUUUGUCUAAGCCCCGCUGAAAACCAUGGUCUAUAGUGGCGUUUUUUGGCUAAGCGUCGCUAAAGACCAUGGUCUAUAGUGGCGUUUUGUGGCUAAGCGCCGCUAAAGACCAUGAUCUAUAGUGGCAUUUUUCGGCUAAGCGCCGCUAAAGACCAUGGUCUAUAGUGGUGUUUUUUAGGCUAAGCGCCGCUAAAGACCAUGGUCUAUAGCGGCGUUGCAAAGAAAACGCCGCUAAAGACCAUGGUCUAUAGUGGCGUUUUUUAGGCUAAGCGCCGCUAAAGACCAUGGUCUAUAGCGGCGUUGCAAAGAAAAUGCUGCGAAAGGUCUUGAUCUUUAGCGGUGUUUAUUAUAAAAAGCGCCGCUAAAGUUACCGACGCUGUCAUUAGCGGCGAUCCUUGCGGCGCUUCGUAAAGCGCCGCUAAAAGUAUUUGCGGCGCUAAAAAAUGCCGCUAUAGACCUAAAAAAGCGCCGCUAAAACCCUGUUUUGGUGUAGUGUGAGAUGAUUACAAAUGAAGGGGGAGAUCUCUAUUUAUAGUUGAGCUCCCCUAGAUCCAAUAGUAUAGAUUGAAUUACAUCAACGAUUGAGAUUAGUACUUAUCUACAAGAUGAGUCUUAAGGAUUUUAAACUCUAUACAUCUUUAUCCCUUAGGAUUUACAUUAAUUACUCUGGUAACUCUAGUUUUACUGGAGAGUUUCACUGAACCACCAAAGGUUUAAGUAGAUGAGCUUCUCCAUAUGUUCCACGAGUUGGACAAGUUCAAGCGGAUCAAAUGAGCCCAAUUUAAUUAGUUAAUCUCAAUAAAACGUUCUAUGCACAAUGAUCAUGAACUUUGAUCCACAUCUCAAAAUGAUCAGAUGAAUAAUCUCUCUUAAUUAUAUUUUUAUAAAACUUGAUAUUUUCAUUUAAAAAGAAACACAAUCACAUAUAAUAAUGUCUCCAAAAGAGUCGUCCACUUCAAAGAUUUAAAGUAAUGUAAGAAUGAACCCAACAUUUUUCAAUUAAAAAUAUGUCGAUAGAUAUAGCAAGUUGUAUAACCUUUCAAUUACAAAACAGAUUUCAAUGGGGAUUGCAUCCGGUACAUGCAACUAAAGAACAGAACCGGUGCAUAAAUUGAUUUAAUUAAACUUUGGGUUGAGUAAUCAUGAUUUUCAUUAUUAUUAGACUACGUGAAUGUUGAUAUAAAAUGCUUGAGAGAAGGGUAUAGAAGAAACACAAAAUAAUGAGUGAUAUUAAUUUGUAGAUAAAGAUAAUAUUACAUAGUCGCAAAAAGCGACCUAGUACACAACGCACAACUCUAAAUUAGGAUAACUCCUCUGCUAUCCCUAUGGAUGGAUUUUAACAUCCAUAUUUAUUCUGUAGCUAUCGUUAUUUUGGCUUCCACUAGCUGGUGAACUUUCCAUGCCAAAACUUCACUUAACCCUGCAAAUGAAACAACAAAAAACACAACAUUAAAUGUUGAGCAAUUAAUAAGCAUAAGCAAUGAAACAACUCAUACGAACCUGCUGCAGUCAGUGCUAGGGCUGAUCUUGUAAGGGAUGUUGACACCGCACUUGCCUGGGAGUCCGCUUGCAAUACCAUAGUUGAUGCCAGGAAUGCCGGCGGCCGCACUUUUGAUGCAUUUGCAAGCUGCUUGCCGGUCUGGUGUUGUUUGGGCGGCGGAGUUGAGAGAUUUGAUGCCGCUGCAGCAACCUUGGGGAACGGCACCAGCACCAUUCCCUCUCAAGUAAUUAAU